Molecule: long non-coding RNA, 2428 nt
Filed under: Lupinus angustifolius (narrow-leaved blue lupine)
Lineage: Eukaryota; Viridiplantae; Streptophyta; Magnoliopsida; Fabales; Fabaceae
Description: long non-coding RNA (LANG_LNC000805)
Source: RNAcentral
UUGUGUGCUAGAGACAUUAUUCUCUUCUUAUAAGCAAUGCUAUAGAGAGUUAUGUGUCGUCUUCAACAUAUAUUUAUCUAAUGAUUCUGUUCAGAUUUAUCGUCUGCUUCUAUAUCUAUCUUCUUUUUAUCUGGUAUAUAUGAAAUGACAUAAAAAUGAUGUCAUAUGAUUUGAUCACUAUUUAACCGAAUGUAUAGUAUAAAUAACAUUUAUAUAAACUUUAGAGGUUAAAAGUGUUCAAUUAUCCUUAUUAUCUAAGAUAAUUUUCAUACUAUACAAAUUCGUAAUGAGGAUUUUAAUUUUAUCAUUGAAAAAGAAUCAAAGAAGACUUGCCUUAUGGAAAAUAAAUCACCUUAACAAACCUGACUAUCUCACUCUAGAUAUGUCAUCUUAAAGUUCCUAAUAACAUUUUAUGGCAUAUUAGUAAUUCCAUUCCCACCAACAUCAUUAGGUUCACAUGUGGUGUCAAUGUUCCUUCAACUUGUAUUAGAUGUAACCUCACACAUGAAACAAUUAUGUAUUGUCUUAGGGACUAUAGUGACUUCAACUUUUUUUUUGCUUGAAGUGGAUUUCAACAAAAAAACUAAUUCUUUCAAGAUUUAGAUGUAGGAGAGUGGGUGAAACACAAUUAUGAUAAGGAUACCAACAUGUUCUUGCCUACUCUUUGGUGGGUGUGGAGAAACAUAAUUUGUUUUUCAUGGGGCAAGAGAGGAAUGAUAUUAAUUUUCGAAAUUUUCAGCAAUUUUAUAAAUAUGUGCUUCCAAUAUCAUGUAGGAAACUAAUAGAUAUCCAAAAAACGAGCAAAAAAAAUCCGUCCGAGUACAUUAACGUUUAUAAUUUUAAAACGGGUAGCGGGUAGCGAUUACUCAUAUUCAUAUUGUCAAACACGAGCCAAACAUCAAAUCAGAUGAUGUCUUGUAUUAGGUUUAAUCAAUUUAAAUGAUUAAACCAUCAGAUCAGACUAAUCGAUAUCAUAUAUAAUUAAUAAUUAAUAUAUAACUAUAUAUAAAUGAAAAAUUUUAUAUAAUAAAUGAACAUGUAUAACUACGUUGAAAUAACACAUAUCCAUAUUUUUUGGACCAGAGUAAAUCAAAACAAAACAUUAGAGUAAUGUCAUGUCCCAAUUUUUUGCCGCACUAUUUUCUUAAAGUCACCACUAUAGAAAACAUAAAAAAAUCAUUUAGCCCUAUUAAAAUGGGCUUUGGAUUCUUGAUAUUGAGAUUCAGGAGUCAGUUACGGAGUAGAGAAUGUAUUAGAUCUUAUCCAUCCAUUUUAAACGGUACCCCUCGUUAAAUUGUAUAGCUUAUAUUAUACUUUAGACUUAUUUAAUUAUUUAAUUAAUUAUUAAAAGGUCAUUUUUUUAUUGUUGUGUCUAACAAGGUGUAUUCCUAUUUGAGAAUCAAAGCUAUGUAGUGAUGGUUGGUUGAAUGUUUUAAUUAGAUAAAGAAACAACAUAACGCGACCGUCCAAAAGAUGGGCUGAGGGAAAGAUAACAUUUGAUAUGAUUAGCAAAUGUUAUUUUUUUGUUGAAAUUAUUAAUCUUAACAUUAAUUUAUUUGCGAAAAUGUGUUAUGUAUUACUAAUUGUGGUUAACUAUGAUUUAAAAUGGUAUUAUUGUUGACUUCAAUGAUUAAUUGAUUGAAAAUAAGUGUCAUAACGCAAUUGUUGUAAGAUGAUUUGAGGAAAAUAAGCCAUUACUGACGAUCGUCCCUAUUUUUGAUUAAUCUCUAAAAUUUAUUUCAUUAUAAUAAGUGAUGUUACGAUGUGUUUCAAAACAACUAACUAUAUUGCUUGUCAUUUUUUAUUUUAGUAAUAAAUUCUGAUUAUCUUUAAUUAUUAGCAUAAAAAGGGUUUGCUAAUGAGUUGCUAAGAAAAAUGUUAUCUUCACUUUUAUUAUUUUAUUUCUAAAAUAUUAGUAUCAUUAUUUGUUAUUAUUUUUAUUGAAAUUAUGUAAAAUAUUAUUAAAAAUUAUUGUUUGCAAAGUUUAUACAUUGUUUAUUAAAUAAUUAACGUUUAUUAUUAAAAAAAAAUAAUAAAGAAAAAAGGAAAAACAAAGAAAAAUACUAAAAUUUGCAAGGGAAAUGAUUCAGUGUGGACAGUAGCAUUGAGGUUUGCAUAGAUGUGCUGACGUGUCGAAGUUAGAUUAGUCAAAAGAAAGGGAAGUGCAGUUUAACAAUGAACUCACCCGCAUGGGAUCCCAAUCUGUCAUGGAGAUGAGGAUCUGCUGGGGCAAGGUGCAGGUGGAUGGGGCGGGCAAGUCACGACGUGAUUGGUCUCACUCGUGAUCAACGGUUUUUCCUGCAUCGGAGACAGAUCCAAUGGUGAGACGAACAGAAGUACAUGGCUUUUGUUGUGCUUGUCCAUACUUGAUUACAUUAUGUGCCUUCUACAUUGUUCCCGAGACUUGCUUUUCAGAUUUGCUUUUUUU